GCUUACGGCCACACCACCCUGAGCGCGCCCGAUCUCGUCUGAUCUCGGAAGCUAAGCAGGGUCGGGCCUGGUUAGUAAUGGAGACGCCGCAGUUG
Molecule: ribosomal RNA, 95 nt
Filed under: Lates calcarifer (barramundi perch)
Lineage: Eukaryota; Metazoa; Chordata; Actinopteri; Centropomidae
Source: RNAcentral